This 253-nucleotide ribosomal RNA is filed under the name uncultured bacterium. Its description in RNAcentral is "partial 16S ribosomal RNA". It matches the Rfam family "Bacterial small subunit ribosomal RNA", at positions 524 to 776 of the family's 1533-position model. The record is from RNAcentral.
UACAGAGGGGGCAAGCGUUGUUCGGAAUUACUGGGCGUAAAGGGCGCGUAGGCGGCCUUCUAAGUCAUGCGUGAAAUCCCCGGGCUCAACCCGGGAACUGCGUCUGAUACUGGAAGGCUUGAAUCCGGGAGAGGGAUGCGGAAUUCCAGGUGUAGCGGUGAAAUGCGUAGAUAUCUGGAGGAACACCGGUGGCGAAGGCGGCAUCCUGGACCGGCAUUGACGCUGAGGCGCGAAAGCGUGGGGAGCAAACAGG